AAGCAUUUCGUUGGAAUUAUUAUAACACACAUAACUGUGUUUGGGAAUUAUGUGCGUAGACACGUCCCCUAUGUUUAGUUGCUGCGGCAUCGGGCAUCCAAGAAGGCAAGAAUUGUCUUCCCAUUUGCCCCCCAAAAAAUGUCCUGACAUUACUGUGAUUUUCAGACAAAUGGAAUGACCAUUAUUAUUUCAUGAGUAUGUUAUUAUAAAAGAGAGUUUGCACUUGUUAUAAAAAAAAUUUUACUAUGCAGGACAGUUAAAGGAGAACAAAAAUUGCUUGUUAUCUUGACUCUUUGAGAAAAGGCAAUGUUAGCAUUUUAUAGUCUUUCUGUCUUGGUCUUUUAUGUGUGGGCAAUAUUUAUGUCUACAAAAAAUAAAGUCGUGCUUUGCAUUCGGUUUUGCAGCCAGCUUUUUUCAGUGAGUGGUAUAUUAUGGUCAUCUUUGCAUGUUAGUAGGGAUGUAUAUUUUUUCCUGUAUCCUAUUACGCAACAGUACCCUAAUUUAUUUAAACAUUCAGUGAUAGAUGGAUUAUUUCUGAGUUUUAGAUAUUCUAAGUAAUGCCAUGUCAAGUAUUCUUACACAUCUUUACAGUGAUCUGAUUUGUUUCUUACAUUAAUUCAUAGAAAAGGAAUUCUAGUUAACAGAACUUACACAUUCUUAAGAGUCUGAAUGUUUGAGAUGGCCCUCUCACCAAGGCAUGUUGUAUUCCCACAAAAGCUGUAGUAAUAUUCUAAAUUUUUGCUGUGGUAUUUUUGUGUGUUACGCAAAUCUGUCAUUACCUUAUCCCCUAAGACAGAAUGUAUCUGAUCACACUCAGAAGGAUCAGAAGGAAAUAGGUCAUGGUAAAAGGACCAGACCUUAGCAGGAAAAGAUGGCCCUCCCCCUUGGAAGCAGGGUCUUUCUCCAUCUUUCUGCAGAUGCUGUAUCAGGCUGUUUGAUUAUAUCGUAAAGUGUUGACUUGGUAACUACACAACAGAACAUUUUAUUCUUGUUGAAGGUUAAACAGCCAUGAAAAUGGAGCAUUAUAGUUCAUUUCAAUAGCCAGUUUAUUUCAAGUGUCUGGCUGUAACAAAACCUCAGGGGAAUAUUGUUGAUGUUACUUUUCUUUGGAGGCCAACACGCUAUGACAGAAAUACCUCUUAUUUGUGAAUGUAUGAAUUGCAGUUGCGUAGGACUUUCUUCUUCUCUAAUGCAGGAUUAAUUUGAUGUCCUUACACUUUUGCUGACACCGGGUCACACUGAGUUAUACCAUCAACAUUGUUACCAAUUCAUGUUCUCAAAUUAAUUAUUGAUAGUGGAUUGGCAUGCUGUGUGUAGUAGGAAUAGUUCAAGUUCUUAGGGUCAGACUUAUAAAAUGCUCUGGUCGGGCAGGUAGUAGGCAUGUUGCUUCUUGCGUUCUGCAGAAAUGGAAGGAGCUUCUCCCCAAAUCAGCCUACCUUUAGAGUAACAUGUAAACUGCUUUCCUCUCCCACUUCCUUUUUCCCUUUGUCUCUUCCUCUAAAUAUCUUUGAUAGUUUUAUAAAAAUUCACAUUUUUCCUUACGAGCAACUCAAAGCCUGAAAGAAUCGAUUGAAAGGGGAACAGAAUGCCGACUCUUGACUCCGUCUCAAAAGAACAGAAAAUGGGGACGACGAAAACUCGAAAUAUUUGUUAAAACAUUGUGUCUGGGGUAAUCGUUGACGACUUUCGAACAGAGAACAGAAUUUCCGAUUUGGAAGGGAUUGCAGCGGUUACCACCGGUAAAAAGCACCAUUUAAUGUGCACCCACGUAGUCCUGAGCAAUUUCUGCAUUAGUCAAAUUGGGAUAAGUGACCCUGCCUCAUAGGCUGUUCAAGGAAUAAAUGAGAUAAUUCAUGUAAAAAGUGCUGAACACAGUGCCUGGCAUUAUGGUUUAAGUGCUCAAUAAAUGUUAGCUGCUGCUACCACCAUCUCAUUUACUGUCCCAUCCUGAGCUUGGGUGCCCUUCAGUGUGAAGAGGCCGCGAGUCAGUUCACGAGUGAGUUUUCAGACCCUGGUCUUGGCACUUGGACAGCCCUGGGGGAACGUAUCUUCGGGCGCAAAGUUGAACGCUGCCUGCCCGUCAUGUUCACCUACGAGGCCCAGAUCUCAGUGAGGGAAGAGCCUCAGGAAGAGCUCCCUUAGGUCGGCGGGCUCUACUCACCUAGCUGACCAUGCUCUUCUUAGCUGGUUUCAUCCGUUUCUCCCUGCCAUUCUCUGCCCUCCGCCAGCUCUUCCUGAGCCUCUUCUCCUGUCUUCCUGCACAGAGCACCACUGCAGAGCAAAGCCACGUUCCCUAGGGAGACAGAUCCGUGUGCGAGAAGUAACUAACGGCCUUUCAUGUCCUUCAGCCAGAACGUGAGAGCCUUUGCUGUGUGUUAGGACGUACCUGUUUUCCCACACACCUGCCAGUGCGUCGCUGUUCCCACACUGUGUGAAGACCUCUCAAGUGAUCUGACGUUGCAGGAGAACGUACAGCGUGUCCACCACGUAUGCUGCAGAGACAUCCUGCGUCUGGGCGUUGCUGAGGGUUGGCUGGAUGGAGAGGAGUUUUGCUCAGGGCAGUCCCAUGGGUGGUGUCACAUUUGAAUACAAGUUAGAAAGAAGCCUAGAAAAUUGGAGUGGCCUAGAAAUUAGUUUAGCUGGGCUUUACCAGUUAGAACUGCAUUUUGGGAUAUAUGCUACUUGACUUCUCUGGGCUUCGAUGUUCUCAAAUAGGAAAUUGCUGUGAUGAUACCUACCUCCUAAGACUGUCGUGAGGACUCAGCACAGAACAAGUGGAAAGGGUUUAGCACAGGCCGAACACACAGUUGGCCCAAUGGUGGGUGAUGGUGGUUGUGUCCUAAGCAGUUCCGUUCUAGAGAGAACAUUCUUGUAAAGGGGUGUUCACAGACAGAUCUAGGCCUGAUAGAUUUUUCCAGUCACUCAAGCAAACACAGACGUGACUUCCUAGUUUAUACCUAGCAGUAUGCCAGGUGCAAGAGAGUCAGAUGUGAGUAAAGCAGAGUCUCUGCUGUAAUGCUUGUAGUUAAUAAAAGACAAAAACAAGUAAAAAAGAAAAACCCAGUUGCCCUCCAUUCCACGAUGGCAAGUAUGUAAGAGUGUUUUGGGGUCAUGAAGAGGAUAAAAAAAUUCUGCUGAUUCAACUAGACUGGUGGAAGCAAUCAUUGAUGUACUUGUAGGUUAUGCUUCUGAGUUGUCAGAGUCAUUAAAAACAACUCUUAUUAUGGAAAAUAUCAAGCUUAUUAUACGGAAGUGAGAAAAUAAUGCAAUGAACCCCCAUGUAUCCAUCAUUCAGCUUCAACAGUUACCAACUCCUGGCCAAUCCACUUUCAUCUCUGUCCAUACAUCCAUUCUCACUGACCUCAGAUUAUUUGGAAAUGCCAGUCAUCAUAUCAUUUAAUGAUAAUUUCAUCAUAAAUGAAUAUAAAUAUUUCAAUAUGUGUUUGUAAAAGACUAGGAUUCAUCUUUCUUCUGUUUUAAGCCUCCAUGUCCUCCAAAUUACAGAUAUUUUAGGUGUAGUUAUCACUCAUGAUCUAUGGAUAUUACGAGAUAAGCCUGAAUUCAGCACCAUAGGACCAAUCACUAAAUGAACAAAUUAAAGUUUUUUUAAAAAAACUUUCAUCCUUUGAAAGGUGCAAAUAAAAUUAUAUGUUACAAAAAUUUCUGUUUUGUGUCAUGUAACCUGACUUGUGAUUUUAGCAAUGGGGUCAUGCUUUUUAAAGAUAUAAAUGCCCUCUGAAGCAUGUUAUUUUCUUUUAAAUCUAGAAAGUCGAUAGGUAGGUUUCCUUGCUCCCUAUUUAGCAUUGAGAUAAUUUUUUUAAACUAAAAAUCAAAGCACAACUUUUGAUUUCUACUGUUCCCUCUUAGAGGAAGAGAUUAAAAAAAAACGUAUUAGAUGGGGCCUGCUGUAUGAGAAUUGGAGAAAAAUGUGGGCUAGUGCUGCCUAUGUAAGUUUUAUCAAGUUAAAUUACAGGGCAGCUUUUUACAAAAUGUUCAGAAAAUAAGUGUGUGUGUGUGUGUGUGUGUGUGUGUGUGUUUCUUUUUGCUGGGCCUAAACCUUGCUAUGUGGAAUGAUUUUUCCUUACUCUUCCAUGAGCAAGAAUGUUACUGAAUAAAAAGUCAAAUUCCUAUGAAA
Leptonychotes weddellii (Weddell seal) is the source of this 4135-nucleotide non-coding RNA. The record is from RefSeq and is a predicted model, not a curated record. Lineage: Eukaryota; Metazoa; Chordata; Mammalia; Carnivora; Phocidae.